CGGAAUAGUGUGUGUUGUGUGAAAUCCCCCGGCUUAACCGGGGAAUUGCACAGCAAACUGCUGUUCUUGAGGCAGGUAGGGGUGCAUGGAACUCUUGGUGGAGCGGUGGAAUGCGUAGAUAUCAAGAGGAACGCCAGAGGUGAAGACGGUGCACUGGGCCUGUCCUGACGCUGAGGUGCGAAAGCGUGGGGAGCGAACGGGAUUAGAUACCCCGGUAGUCCACGCCGUAAACGAUGUCUACUAGGUCGUGGGUGUUCUGACACAUUCACGGCCGGAGCAAAAGUGUUUAGUAGACCGCCUGGGGAGUACGGCCGCAAGGUUAAAACUCAAAUGAAUUGACGGGGGCUCAUACAAGCGGUGGAGCAUGUGGAUUAAUUCGAAGCAACGCGCAGAACCUUACCUGGGUUUGACAUGCUUGUAUGCCUUCUCUGAAAGGAGUUAGGCUGCCUUCGGGUGAAACUUGCACAGGUGCUGCAUGGCUGUCGUCAGCUCGUGUCGUGAGAUGUCGGGUUAAGUCCUUUAACGAGCGAAACCCUUGCCGUUAGUUGCCAGCGAGUAAUGUCGGGGACUCUAACGGGACUGCCGGUGUUAAACCGGAGGAAGGUGGGGAUGACGUCAAGUCCUCAUGGCCUUUAUGCCCAGGGCUUCACACGUGCUACAAUGGCAAUUACAGAGCGACGCGAUACCGCGAGGUGGAGCAAAUCGCAAAAAAAUUGCCUCAGUUCGGAUUGCAGGCUGGCAAUUCGCCUGCAUGAAGUCGGAAUCGCU
RNAcentral lists this ribosomal RNA (768 nucleotides) under uncultured organism. RNAcentral's name for it is "bacterial SSU rRNA". It matches the Rfam family "Bacterial small subunit ribosomal RNA", at positions 576 to 1336 of the family's 1533-position model. The record is from RNAcentral.